Molecule: ribosomal RNA, 256 nt
Filed under: uncultured archaeon
Lineage: Archaea
Description: partial 16S ribosomal RNA
Rfam family: Bacterial small subunit ribosomal RNA
Source: RNAcentral
UAAUACGUAGGCAGCAAACGUUGUUCGGAAUUACUGGGCGUAAAGAGUGUGUAGGCGGUUUUGCAAGUUUGGUGUGAAAUCUCCCGGCUUAACUGGGAGGGUGCGCCGAAAACUGCAAGGCUCGAGUACUGGAGAGGAAAGCGGAAUUCCUGGUGUAGCGGUGAAAUGCGUAGAUAUCAGGAGGAACACCGGUGGUGUAGACGGCUUUCUGGACAGUCACUGACGCUGAGACACGAAAGCGUGGGGAGCAAACAGG